RNAcentral lists this ribosomal RNA (253 nucleotides) under uncultured bacterium. RNAcentral describes it as "partial 16S ribosomal RNA". It matches the Rfam family "Bacterial small subunit ribosomal RNA", at positions 524 to 776 of the family's 1533-position model. The record is from RNAcentral.
UACGUAGGGUGCAAGCGUUAAUCGGAAUUACUGGGCGUAAAGCGUGCGCAGGCGGCUUUGCAAGACAGAUGUGAAAUCCCCGGGCUUAACCUGGGAACUGCAUUUGUGACUGUAGAGCUGGAGUGCGGCAGAGGGGGAUGGAAUUCCGCGUGUAGCAGUGAAAUGCGUAGAUAUGCGGAGGAACACCGAUGGCGAAGGCAAUCCCCUGGGCCUGCACUGACGCUCAUGCACGAAAGCGUGGGGAGCAAACAGG